AACGUACGCUGGCGGCACGCCUAACACAUGCAAGUCGAACGAAGUAGCAAUACUUAGUGGCAGACGGGUGAGUAACAUGUGGGUAUCUGCCCUUUGGCCUGGAAUAACACGAGGAAACUUGUGCUAAUACCGGAUAAGUCUUUACGGAGAAAGCUUUAUGCACCAUUGGAUGAGCCUGCACUUGAUUAGUUUGUUGGUAGGGUAAUGGCCUACCAAGACUAUGAUCAAUAGCUGAUUUGAGAGGAUGAUCAGCCACAUUGGGACUGAGACACGGCCCAAACUCCUACGGGAGGCAGCAGUGGGGAAUCUUGCACAAUGGAGGAAACUCUGAUGCAGCGAUGCCGCGUGAGUGAAGAAGGCCUUUGGGUUGUAAAGCUCUUUCGUCGGGGAAGAAAAUGACUGUACCCGAAUAAGAAGGUCCGGCUAACUUCGUGCCAGCAGCCGCGGUAAUACGAAGGGACCUAGCGUAGUUCGGAAUUACUGGGCUUAAAGAGUUCGUAGGUGGUUGAAAAAGUUGGUGGUGAAAUCCCAGAGCUUAACUCUGGAACUGCCAUCAAAACUUUUCAGCUAGAGUAUGAUAGAGGAAAGCAGAAUUUCUAGUGUAGAGGUGAAAUUCGUAGAUAUUAGAAAGAAUACCAAUUGCGAAGGCAGCUUUCUGGAUCAUUACUGACACUGAGGAACGAAAGCAUGGGUAGCGAAGAGGAUUAGAUACCCUCGUAGUCCAUGCCGUAAACGAUGUGUGUUAGACGUUGGAAAUUUAUUUUCAGUGUCGCAGCGAAAGCGAUAAACACACCGCCUGGGGAGUACGACCGCAAGGUUAAAACUCAAAUGAAUUGACGGGGACCCGCACAAGUAGUGGAGCAUGUGGUUUAAUUCGAAGAUACGCGCAGAACCUUACCAACACUUGACAUGUUCGUCGCGACUCUAAGAGAUUAGAGUUUUCGGUUCGGCCGGACGAAACACAGGUGCUGCAUGGCUGUCGUCAGCUCGUGUCGUGAGAUGUUGGGUUAAGUCCCGCAACGAGCGCAACCCUCACUUUUAGUUGCCAGCAUUAAGUUGGGCACUCUGAAAGAACUGCCAGUGAUAAGCUGGAGGAAGGUGGGGAUGACGUCAAGUCCUCAUGGCCCUUACGUGUUGGGCUACACACGUGCUACAAUGGUAUCUACAACAGGAAGCAAAACGGCAACGUUAAGCAAAUCCCGAAAAGAUACCUCAGUUCGGAUUGCACUCUGCAACUCGAGUGCAUGAAGCUGGAAUUACUAGUAACCGUGGAUCAGCGUGCCACGGUGAAUGCGUUCCCGGGUCU
RNAcentral lists this ribosomal RNA (1306 nucleotides) under uncultured bacterium. Its description in RNAcentral is "bacterial SSU rRNA". It matches the Rfam family "Bacterial small subunit ribosomal RNA", at positions 28 to 1381 of the family's 1533-position model. The record is from RNAcentral.